Molecule: ribosomal RNA, 508 nt
Filed under: uncultured Glomus
Lineage: Eukaryota; Fungi; Glomeromycota; Glomeromycetes; Glomerales; Glomeraceae
Description: SSU rRNA
Rfam family: Eukaryotic small subunit ribosomal RNA
Source: RNAcentral
AGCAGCCGCGGUAAUUCCAGCUUCAAAAGCGUAUUUUAAAGUUGUUGCAGUUAAAAAGCUGGUAGUUGAAUUUCGGGGUUAGUAGGUUGGUCAUGCCUCUGGUAUGUACUGGUCUCACUGAUUCCUCCUUCCUGAUGAACCGUAAUGCCAUUAAUUUGGUGUUGCGGGGAAUUUGGACUGUUACUUUGAAAAAAUUAGAGUGUUUAAAGCAAGCUAACGCUUGAAUACAUUAGCAUGGAAUAAUGAAAUAGGACGUUUGAUCCUAUUUUGUUGGUUUCUAGGAUUGACGUAAUGAUUAAUAGGGAUAGUUGGGGGCAUUAGUAUUCAAUUGUCAGAGGUGAAAUUCUUGGAUUUAUUGAAGACUAACUACUGCGAAAGCAUUUGCCAAGGAUGUUUUCAUUAAUCAAGAACGAAAGUUAGGGGAUCGAAGACGAUCAGAUACCGUCGUAGUCUUAACCAUAAACUAUGCCGACUAGGGAUCGGAUGAUGUUAAUUUUUUAAUGACUCA